This is a long non-coding RNA of Oncorhynchus kisutch (coho salmon), 1658 nucleotides long. RefSeq lists it as uncharacterized. The transcript has 7 exons. The record is from RefSeq and is a predicted model, not a curated record. NCBI's taxonomy places the organism in Eukaryota, Metazoa, Chordata, Actinopteri, Salmoniformes, Salmonidae.
UAACUUCAGACCGUAUAGACACCAGGGUGUACAAAAACGCACGCUUGCUGUCUGUUCAGCAUGUAAUUUGAAGUAGGCUAGAGGCGGAGAUGGUAGGAAGUAGGGCUGCACGCACCGGUAUAUAACAGUAGCCAGAAAAUACUGGACCGGUACCAGACACCAGGGUGGACAAAAAAGCACCCUUGCCGCCUGUUCAGCAUGUAAUUUGAAGUAGGCUAGAGGCGGAGAGGGUAGAAAGUAGGGCUGCACGCACCGGUAGAUAACAGUAGCCAGAAAAUACUGGGCCGGUACCAAAGGAUACAACCGCCAGGUUGGAUUCGUAAAAAGUUGCAAUGAAGGACAUGUGUUUCCUGUGUAACGACACAAAGUGCCCAGAGGUGACGAAAUGUUUUGAUCAUAAUGGUGACCUGAACCAGAAUCUGCUGACGAUGCCAGGUCCUUUCCAGCAAUGCACAUCCACCCCCUAUCCUCCUUCUGGGAGGUGCACCAUUUGUAGUCUGGAUCAUUAUUACACUGUGUGCAGAAACGUCUCAGAGAGCAUCCAGCCUGCCCUGGAGACCAACAGCACAGCCAUUACCAACUAUGAACAAGCCAAUUGCCCUGUCAUCGGCAUCGCACCAACUACUGUGAAUGGUUCAGACUUCACUGGAGCUGCUGCUCAAUAUGGACAUCCUGGGGGUGAACUGUGGUGGUGUUUACUGAUCCUCGUCCUGGUCGUUGUUUGCAUUGGUAUCAUUGCUUACAGGUGUAUCAAGAAGCGCAAAAUAGAAAACCUUGUCAUAUAAGGCACUCAGGACUACCCAUCCCUUAGCCAAGCUAUUUGGACCCAACCACCAGAGACGGGGACAGCACUAAGGACUACCCAUCCCUUAGCCAAGCUAUUUGGACCCAACCACCAGAGACAGGGACAGCACUCAGGACUACCCAUCCCUUAACCAAGCUAUUUGGACCCAACCACCAGAGACAGGGACAGCACUCAGGACUACCCAUCCCUUAACCAAGCUAUUUGGACCCAACCACCAGAGACAGGGACAGCACUCAGGACUACCCAUCCCUUAACCAAGCUAUUUGGACCCAACCACCAGAGACAGGGACAGCACUCAGGACUACCCAUCCCUUAACCAAGCUAUUUGGACCCAACCACCAGAGACAGGGACAGCACUCAGGACUACCCAUCCCUUAACCAAGCUAUUUGGACCCAACCACCAGAGACAGGGACAGCACUCAGGACUACCCAUCCCUUAACCAAGCUAUUUGGACCCAACCACCAGAGACAGGGACAGCACUCAGGACUACCCAUCCCUUAACCAAGCUAUUUGGACCCAACCACCAGAGACAGGGACAGCACUCAGGACUACCCAUCCCUUAACCAAGCUAUUUGGACCCAACCACCAGAGACGGGGACAGCACUCAGGACUACCCAUCCCUUAACCAAGCUAUUUGGACCCAACCACCAGAGACAGGGACAGCACUCAGGACUACCCAUCCCUUAACCAAGCUAUUUGGACCCAACCACCAGAGACGGGGACAGCACUCAGGACUACCCAUCCCUUAACCAAGCUAUUUGGACCCAACCACCAGAGACGGGGACAUCUUUUAAUACAUUUUCAUAUUCAGAUUCUUGUCAAUCAGUACCAUUAAACCAGUGCCUUGGAUAA